RNAcentral lists this ribosomal RNA (497 nucleotides) under uncultured bacterium. RNAcentral describes it as "partial 16S ribosomal RNA". It matches the Rfam family "Bacterial small subunit ribosomal RNA", at positions 28 to 507 of the family's 1533-position model. The record is from RNAcentral.
GAUGAACGCUGGCGGCGUGCCUAAUACAUGCAAGUCGAGCGAACAGACGAGGAGCUUGCUCCUCUGACGUUAGCGGCGGACGGGUGAGUAACACGUGGAUAACCUACCUAUAAGACUGGGAUAACUUCGGGAAACCGGAGCUAAUACCGGAUAAUAUAUUGAACCGCAUGGUUCAAUAGUGAAAGACGGUUUUGCUGUCACUUAUAGAUGGAUCCGCGCCGCAUCAGCUAGUUGGUAAGGUAACGGCUUACCAAGGCAACGAUGCGUAGCCGACCUGAGAGGGUGAUCGGCCACACUGGAACUGAGACACGGUCCAGACUCCUACGGGAGGCAGCAGUAGGGAAUCUUCCGCAAAGGGCGAAAGCCUGACGGAGCAACGCCGCGUGAGUGAUGAAGGUCUUCGGAUCGUAAAACUCUGUUAUUAGGGAAGAACAAAUGUGUAAGUAACUAUGCACGUCUUGACGGUACCUAAUCAGAAAGCCACGGCUAACUACGUG